Molecule: ribosomal RNA, 467 nt
Filed under: uncultured bacterium
Lineage: Bacteria
Description: partial 16S ribosomal RNA
Rfam family: Bacterial small subunit ribosomal RNA
Source: RNAcentral
GACGAACGCUGGCGGCGUGCUUAACACAUGCAAGUCGAACGGAAAGGCCUCUUUCGGGGGGUACUCGAGUGGCGAACGGGUGAGUAACACGUGAGUAACCUGCCCUUGACUUUGGGAUAACUUCAGGAAACUGGGGCUAAUACCGGAUAGGAGCUCCUGCUGCAUGGUGGGGGUUGGAAAGUUUCGGCGGUUGGGGAUGGACUCGCGGCUUAUCAGCUUGUUGGUGGGGUAGUGGCUUACCAAGGCUUUGACGGGUAGCCGGCCUGAGAGGGUGACCGGCCACAGUGGGACUGAGAUACGGCCCAGACUCCUACGGGAGGAAGCAGUGGGGAAUAUUGCACAAUGGGUGGAAGCCUGAUGCAGCAACGCCGUGUGCGGGAUGACGGCCUUCGGGUUGUAAACCGCUUUCGCUCAUGACGAAGCUUUGUGUGACGGUAGUGGGUAAAGAAGCACCGGCUAACUACGUG